GGCUGCAAGCUCCAAAUCUUCUUUCACUUGAGCUGUGACUAUAUUUGGUAGGGUAGAUAGAUCAAGAAGGGCUUUGUGAGCCUUUUGUGUGGCCAAGAAUAACUCCAAUUUUGGCUUUCCACAAGCCAAAAUCACCCUUUCUAUUGAAUUUCUCCACUUUAAAUCUUGCUACUAUAAUUAUUUCUCUGAAUCUUGAAUCUUGAUUCUCGAAAAACUGAAAUCUUUAAUUGUCUUUGCUCUGUUACCAAUUUUGUUGGCCUAAUGGUUUAUUUUAGGCCCAAACAAUGGAAGAAUUCUGGUCCAAGAAUUGGGUUAGGUGAACUGAAAGGCUAUGAAGAGACCACGUAGCUGAGCUUGAUGAAGGAUAUGCGUGAGGUGGAUUCUUUUCUUUCAGCUGAGCAGGCAAAGAAGUUGAAAGCGGAGAAGGAGAAGAACAAGCAGAUGUACGUGCUUCGGUCUAAGAUGACCUACAUCCACGGAAAGGGAGAACUCACUUUUACUGAAGGCCUUUUACACGAAGAUAAGUCUUCAACUUACAGAUUUCUUUCUUAAAUAAAAGAUCUUACUCUAGAUUUUUAUGUAGAUCUAUUUAUACAGAAUAUGUAAGACUGUUACAAGUUGUUAAAGAUAGUGUAAAGUAGUAAAACUAGCUAUUGAGAUCAUUGUUGCUUCAUGAAGUAUAGAGCUUAAUUGGUCUAAUUGGUGUACAGCAAGUGACGACAAUUGGAGUAACCUUCCGUGAGCAUCUUUUUCCGAGAGCAUUUUUUAACCUUUAUGGUAUUAGUUUAUGGGGCUACGACCGGAUUAUGCCGUACGGCCGUUAUGAGAAGAAAAGAUGAAAGAAGUGUUUCUUUUUCAUUGUUUAUCUUAAGCUAUCGUGAUACUUGAAAGCAAAUAACUUUUGUAAACUCCAUUAUAGUAGAAUCUAUAAUUAUAAUAAGUUCGAUGUAGCUUCAAGAUUGGCUGAAUCAAUAUAGUUAUAUUUUACCAA
Long non-coding RNA from Benincasa hispida (wax gourd), 991 nucleotides. RefSeq lists it as uncharacterized. Lineage: Eukaryota; Viridiplantae; Streptophyta; Magnoliopsida; Cucurbitales; Cucurbitaceae. The record is from RefSeq and is a predicted model, not a curated record.